This 516-nucleotide ribosomal RNA is filed under the name Triticum aestivum (bread wheat). Its description in RNAcentral is "partial small subunit ribosomal RNA". The record is from RNAcentral. Lineage: Eukaryota; Viridiplantae; Streptophyta; Magnoliopsida; Poales; Poaceae.
AUGGACGUCGGGUUGUUGGGUGGAACAGUUACCUUCGUGUUAUGGAGCAUCAAUACUACGCCCAACAGAUCCACGGGUUACACGCCUUUUUUCAUGGUUUAUGGAGCGGAGGCGGUUCUCCCUAGUGACAUCCGUCAUGACCCGCCUCGUGUGGCGGCAUAUGUCGAAGCUGACAAUGAGAAGGCACGACAAGAAGCACUUGACCUGUUGGAUGAGGAGCGUGACAUUGCAGCAGCCCGUUCAGUGAUUUAUCAGCAAGAUCUGCGUCGUUAUCACAGCCGCUGGGUUAGAUCCAGAACUUUUCAAGAAGGCGAUCUGGUGCUCCGACUCAUCCAGGAUCAGACGGAUAUGCACAUGUUAUCCCCACCUUUGGAAGGACCUUUUCUGGUCAGCAAGAAUCUGCAUAACGGGUCAUACUACCUUAUAGAUGUUCGAGAGCGCAAAGACUCACGUAAAUCGAAGGAGGAGACCCACCGGCCGUGGAAUAUUGCUCAUCUUCGGCCUUACUAUACUUGA